RNAcentral lists this transfer RNA (86 nucleotides) under Bacillota bacterium. RNAcentral's name for it is "tRNA-Leu". It matches the Rfam family "tRNA". Rfam says of the family: Transfer RNA (tRNA) molecules are approximately 80 nucleotides in length. Their secondary structure includes four short double-helical elements and three loops (D, anti-codon, and T loops). Further hydrogen bonds mediate the characteristic L-shaped molecular structure. tRNAs have two regions of fundamental functional importance: the anti-codon, which is responsible for specific mRNA codon recognition, and the 3' end, to which the tRNAs corresponding amino acid is attached (by aminoacyl-tRNA synthetases). tRNAs cope with the degeneracy of the genetic code in two manners: having more than one tRNA (with a specific anti-codon) for a particular amino acid; and 'wobble' base-pairing, i.e. permitting non-standard base-pairing at the 3rd anti-codon position. RNAcentral also lists the same sequence under 3 other names. The record is from RNAcentral. Lineage: Bacteria; Bacillati; Bacillota.
GCGGAAGUGGCGGAAUUGGCAGACGCGCUAGAUUUAGGAUCUAGUGGGCCUAGCCUGUGUGGGUUCGAGUCCCACCUUCCGCACCA